Molecule: non-coding RNA, 189 nt
Filed under: uncultured Butyrivibrio sp.
Lineage: Bacteria; Bacillati; Bacillota; Clostridia; Lachnospirales; Lachnospiraceae
Source: RNAcentral
CAUCGUGAGGUGGAAUCUGAAGGAAGCCGGAUUCGGGGAACCUACUAACCCGAGGGCAAACCUCUGGCCUGACGUACAGAAAUCUCAUAUAAGGUUUUCGCUGAGGGUAAGACUGCUGAACAAGCCGAAGCCCCAUAACUACACGGAAUCAGCGGGAAUAAAUGAGGCAGGUAGAUGGAGGAAAAGAAA